GCAUUAAUGGGGUAGUGGUAACCUGGGUCGUUGCCAUUCCUUCCGAGCUUGCUCGACCCGCCGGGGGUUCGAUUCCCCCUUAAUGCA
Non-coding RNA from Gymnopilus junonius, 87 nucleotides. Lineage: Eukaryota; Fungi; Basidiomycota; Agaricomycetes; Agaricales; Galerinaceae. The record is from the annotation of a GenBank genome assembly.